AGAGUUUGAUCCUGGCUCAGAACGAACGCUGGCGGCAUGCCUAACACAUGCAAGUCGAACGCUCUCUUCGGAGGGAGUGGCGCACGGGUGAGUAACGCGUGGGAACCUGCCUUGGAGUGGGGGAUAACCGAUGGAAACGUCGGCUAAUACCGCAUACGUCCUGAGGGAGAAAGAUUUAUCGCUCUGAGAGGGGCCCGCGUCGGAUUAGCUAGUUGGUGGGGUAACGGCCUACCAAGGCGGUGAUCCGUAGCUGGUCUGAGAGGAUGAUCAGCCACACUGGGACUGAGACACGGCCCAGACUCCUACGGGAGGCAGCAGUGGGGAAUAUUGGACAAUGGGCGCAAGCCUGAUCCAGCAAUGCCGCGUGAGUGAUGAAGGCCUUAGGGUUGUAAAGCUCUUUCGGCGGGGACGAUGAUGACGGUACCCGCAGAAGAAGCCCCGGCUAACUUCGUGCCAGCAGCCGCGGUAAUACGAAGGGGGCAAGCGUUGUUCGGAAUUACUGGGCGUAAAGGGCGCGCAGGCGGCCAAUCAAGUCAGAUGUGAAAGCCCCGGGCUCAACCUGGGAAUUGCAUUUGGGACUGUUUGGCUAGAGAUCGGGAGAGGAGAGUGGAAUUCCCAGUGUAGAGGUGAAAUUCGUAGAUAUUGGGAAGAACACCGGUGGCGAAGGCGGCUCUCUGGACCGAUACUGACGCUGAGGCGCGAAAGCGUGGGGAGCAAACAGGAUUAGAUACCCCCGUAGUCC
RNAcentral lists this ribosomal RNA (742 nucleotides) under uncultured bacterium. RNAcentral describes it as "bacterial SSU rRNA". It matches the Rfam family "Bacterial small subunit ribosomal RNA", at positions 8 to 796 of the family's 1533-position model. The record is from RNAcentral.